GCCCAGGUGGCGGAAUUGGUAGACGCGCUAGAUUCAGGUUCUAGUGAGCAUUACGCUUGUGGAGGUUCAAGUCCUCUCUUGGGCA
This 85-nucleotide transfer RNA is filed under the name Achromatium sp. WMS1. It matches the Rfam family "tRNA". From Rfam's summary of the family: Transfer RNA (tRNA) molecules are approximately 80 nucleotides in length. Their secondary structure includes four short double-helical elements and three loops (D, anti-codon, and T loops). Further hydrogen bonds mediate the characteristic L-shaped molecular structure. tRNAs have two regions of fundamental functional importance: the anti-codon, which is responsible for specific mRNA codon recognition, and the 3' end, to which the tRNAs corresponding amino acid is attached (by aminoacyl-tRNA synthetases). tRNAs cope with the degeneracy of the genetic code in two manners: having more than one tRNA (with a specific anti-codon) for a particular amino acid; and 'wobble' base-pairing, i.e. permitting non-standard base-pairing at the 3rd anti-codon position. Lineage: Bacteria; Pseudomonadati; Pseudomonadota; Gammaproteobacteria; Thiotrichales; Thiotrichaceae. The record is from Rfam by way of RNAcentral.